Molecule: ribosomal RNA, 440 nt
Filed under: uncultured bacterium
Lineage: Bacteria
Description: partial 16S ribosomal RNA
Rfam family: Bacterial small subunit ribosomal RNA
Source: RNAcentral
CCUACGGGAGGCAGCAGUGGGGGAUAUUGCACAAUGGGGGAAACCCUGAUGCAGCGACGCCGCGUGAGUGAGGGAGUAUUUCGGUAUGUAAAGCUCUAUCGGCAGGGAAGAAAAUGACGGUACCUGACUAAGAAGCCCCGGCUAACUACGUGCCAGCAGCCGCGGUAAUACGUAGGGGGCAAGCGUUAUCCGGAUUUACUGGGUGUAAAGGGAGCGUAGACGGCUAAUCAAGUCAGAAGUGAAAACCCAGGGCUCAACUUUGGGACUGCUUUUGAAACUGGGUAGCUGGAGUGCAGGAGAGGUAAGCGGAAUUCCUAGUGUAGCGGUGAAAUGCGUAGAUAUUAGGAGGAACACCGGUGGCGAAGGCGGCUUACUGGACUGUAACUGACGUUGAGGCUCGAAGGCGUGGGGAGCAAACAGGAUUAGAUACCCUGGUAGUC